Molecule: ribosomal RNA, 481 nt
Filed under: uncultured bacterium
Lineage: Bacteria
Description: partial 16S ribosomal RNA
Rfam family: Bacterial small subunit ribosomal RNA
Source: RNAcentral
GACGAACGUUGGCGGCGUGCUUAAUACAUGCAAGUCAACUGAAGCAGUGGUAGCAAUAUCGCUGUGGAGGUGGCGCACGGGUGAGUAACACGUAGGUAAUCUGCCUUCAGGUCUGGCAUAACUCCGGGAAACCGGGGCUAAUAGCAGAUGAUGCAGCGGCUCGACAUCGAGACAGUUGUUAAAGCUAUGGCGCCUGAAGAUGAGCCUGCGUCUGAUUAGCUAGUUGGCGGGGUAACGGCCCACCAAGGCAACGAUCAGUAGCUGGUCUGAGAGGAUGAUCAGCCACACUGGAACUGAGACACGGCCCAGACUCCUACGGGAGGCAGCAGUAAGGAAUAUUGCUCAAUGGGAGAAAUCCUGAAGCAGCAACGCCGCGUGAGGGACGAAGGGCUUUUGCUUGUAAACCUCUGUAGUGAGAGAAAAAAAUCCCAAUCUUUGGGACAUGAUGGUAGCUCAAAAGUAAGCCCCGGCUAACUACGUG